This 73-nucleotide transfer RNA is filed under the name Stegodyphus mimosarum. It matches the Rfam family "tRNA". Rfam says of the family: Transfer RNA (tRNA) molecules are approximately 80 nucleotides in length. Their secondary structure includes four short double-helical elements and three loops (D, anti-codon, and T loops). Lineage: Eukaryota; Metazoa; Arthropoda; Arachnida; Araneae; Eresidae. The record is from Rfam by way of RNAcentral.
GCUUUCGUGGUGCAGUGGUCAGCACACUCGGCGUGUAUUCGAGAGGUCCGUGGUUCGAGUCCCGGCUAAGGCA